GAAUUUUAUAUAAUUAUUUGUAUUUAUUUUAAAAGAUUAUUUAAUAAGUAAGUAUAUUUGAUUGGGAGGAUUAUUAAAUUUAGAUAACUUUAAUUUUAAUGAAUAUUAUAGAUUAAUAUUUAAUAGAUGGAAUGAUUAUUAAAUUAAAUAAAAAUUAAUUACCUUAGGGAUAACAGCGUAAUAUUUUUAUAAAGAUCUUAUUAAUAAAGAUGAUUGC
Molecule: ribosomal RNA, 217 nt
Filed under: Strumigenys smithii
Lineage: Eukaryota; Metazoa; Arthropoda; Insecta; Hymenoptera; Formicidae
Description: partial large subunit ribosomal RNA
Source: RNAcentral